RNAcentral lists this transfer RNA (9578 nucleotides) under Salmo salar (Atlantic salmon). RNAcentral's name for it is "lncRNA (ENSSSAG00000115624.1)". The stretch from base 410 to 463 matches the Rfam family "UnaL2 LINE 3' element". The record is from RNAcentral. Lineage: Eukaryota; Metazoa; Chordata; Actinopteri; Salmoniformes; Salmonidae.
CUCCUCAUGCUGGGGAGAGAGAUCCGCACCCCUGCGGAGAUGGCGUUUGGUCGGCCCCUGGAUAGCCCUCAUGUUCCCACGGGGCCGAAGUAUGCCUGGAGACUCCAGGACCGCCUGAAGACAGCCCACACCUUCGCCAGAGAGCAGCUGGUGAAUGCAGGUGUGAGGCAGAAAAGGAACUAUGACGUGCACACCCGGGGAAAGCACUUUGUGGCUGGGGAGCUGGUCUGGGUCUACAGCCCCCUGAGGAAAAAAGGCAGAUGCCCCAAGUUGGACAGCCACUGGGUGGCUUCCCUGUAGCUCAGUUGGUUAAGCAUGGUGUUUGCAACACCAGGGUUGUGGGUUCGAUUCCCACGGGGGGCCAGCACAGGGGAAAAAAAAAAAAAAAACAUGUAUGAAAUGAAGUGUAUGUAUUCACUACUGUAAGUCGCUCUGGAUAAGAGCGUCUACUAAAUGACUAAAAUGUAAAUGUAAAAAUGGGUGGGACCCUGCAGCAUCCUGGAGAGGGUAGGGGAGGUUGUUUACCGGGUGCAGCUUCCUCCUAGGGGGAGAAAGGUGGCACUGCACCCUGGACAGGUUAGCCCCAUACAGAGGGGCCUCUUCUCCCCAAACCCCAGGGACCCCCACAAUUCCCCUCUCUGGCAAUGACAUUCCCCAAGCACCCACCCCCAGGCGCCGCAGACAAGGCUCCAGACAACACAGUCUCCCUCCCUGUGUCACCGUGUGGUUCCCCGGAGCCACGGACUGUAUUCCCCGUUCCCGCAUCCUUGUCCCCCAUAUCCCUGCCUUCAUCCCCUGGGUCCCAGAGGGGCAGCUCCCUGCCACGGAUGGAGCCCCCUGUUUCACAUCUGGACACUCUGCGACAAUCACGGCCACGAAGGCAAAGGAGACCUCCAGGUCGCUUCAGAGACUUUGUUUGUUCCCUCGGGGAUGAGGGACUUUGUGGUGGGGGGCUGUGUAGUGACCCGUGUGUUAUGUGUUAGGCUAUUAGUUGGUUGUGUUGUACUACCCAGUAUUCGCGGGGUCCGACAUGCCAAUCAACCUGCUAUCUGCCAAUCAUGGGAAUGCCUGGAAUGUUCUGAUGCCGAGGAGUGGCGUGGACAAUUGUUCCUUUAUGAUCUAGUCCGGUCAUUACAAUACUUUAAUAUAAAAUGUAAAAGUCACCCAGUAGAAUACUACUUGAGUAAAAGUCUAAAAGUAUUUGGUUUUAAAUAUACUUAAGUAAAAAAGUAAAUGUAAUUGCUAAAAUAUAUUUAAGUAUCAAAAAUGUCAAAUUACUUAUAUUAAGCAAACCAGGCGGCAUAAUUUAAUUUAUUUAUCAAUAGCCAGAGAGACACUCCAACACUCAGACAUAAUUUACAAACCAAGCAUUUGUGUUUAGUGAGUCUGCCAGAUCAGAGGCAGUAGGGAGGACAAGGGUUGUAUUCUUGAUAAGUGCGUGAAUGGGACCAUUUUCCUAUCUUGCUAAGCAUUCAAAAUGUAACAAGUACUUUUGGGUGUCAGGGAAAAUGUAAAGAGUAAAAAGUACACUAUUUUCUUUAGGGAUGUGGUGAAGUAAAAGUAAAAUUUGUCAAAUAAAUAGUAAAGUACAGCUACCACCAAAAAAUGACUUAAUGUAGUACUUUAAAGUAUUUUAGGCAGGCUAGCUAAGCUGUACUGUCUUUGCUAAAAAUGUUAUCUAGCCUGCCUCGCUAGCUAAAGUUAGAUAACCUGCCUUGCUUUAUCAAAAGAUAGCUACCUACAUAACAUUUUGCUGGUUAUCUAAUGUCGUUAGCUAAAUUACACAAGAAAGGUCAUUAUAUUCCAGUAUCUCUGGUUAUACCCACCACCACACCAAGUUAACGUUACUGGUGCAGACUUUGGGACCAACGAACACCAAUCACCUAUUCCGCAAACUAAGGUCCUUCCGCAGGGCAUUCAAAACAUGUAACUUUGGUUGUGGAGACAUGGUCAAUCAAUAGGAAGGUCUGCCUUCCUUUGAAUGCAUUGGGGGCGAUGACACAACAGAGCCCCAUUCAAUGAAGGGAAAUGGAGGGGCGAUUUGAAGAUGGGAGUUUGGCAAUAUGAUUUGUUAACAUACUUAGUAAUCCAAGCCUUACUUUAAUUUACUCAUUGUAAUGCACUGAGGUUCCAAACUUUGUUUUAGACAAGACUAAAAUUGUCCUACUUACACUUUGUAGUGAAUUUUGACACUAGAAUACAUGUAUCUGACUCAUAUCGAUGCCACAUCAAAGGGAUUAGUUGCUUUUCAGCAGCAUCUACUCUUUAAGCAAAAUAUUGCAAAUUGCAACAGUUUUGACACUCUUCAAGUUGUUCUUCUCCCUCAGUGUUGCCAGAAUAUAAAUGUGCAGGCUAUACCUGAAGAUAAUUUAUUUGCCAUUUUAAAGCAUGCUGACUGAUAACAAUAGAAAACCCGAAGAAUGACAAAUCAAUCAAAAUGGUUGCUUUUAUUUCAUUGUAAAUAAGUUUAACAUUUUAUUUUUACCCAAAAAUAUUUUAGUAACUUUUUUGCAGUCUACAUUCCAAAAAUAAUGAUAACUAUGAUAAAUGUAAGGAUUAUGUUUGACUGCUGCAAUGAAAAGCAUUUAGCUGUAUUACAGAAAACAGGACUUUGGGACUGAGGAAAGUAGUUUAAUUACAUGUGAUCUAUGGCGUUCAAGCACAAAACAAGUAGUGCUGUGUGUGUACACUGAUGUCUAUGGUUGUACAUGUAGAAUGGUUUUGAUUUUAUGGUGUAUAAUUUACCUAUACAAUUCUCCUGAUAGUUGUUGUAUCCCAAUUUUGUCCUGUUUCUAAUGUUUUACAAAAUGCACCAUAGAGUCUGAGGGUGAAAUUAAACCAGCGGAGGCUGCUGAGGGGAGGAUGGCUCAUAAUAAUGGCCAGGACGGAGCAAAUGGAAUGGCAUCAGACACCUGGAAACCAUGUGUUUGAUGUAUUUGAUACCAUUCCACUGAUCCCGCUCCAGUCAUUACCACGAGUCCGUCCUCCCCAAUUAAGGUGCCACCAACCACCUGUGAACGAGGCCCUCUUCAUUCAAUGUUCUGUAAUUCCAUUACAGACCAAGGCACAUGGUUGCUACAGAGUAAAUACAGAGUCCAAAGACAAAUUAACAUCAAAAUAUGAAAUGAUAUGACUGAUUAGACUUAUAAUAAGAGAAGAAAACGCUAACAUUUACUCAUUUUUCAAACUAUAAAUUUCUAUUGCUGCUUUUCUAUUUUUCAACCAGAGUAACUAAUACUGAGUACGUAAGAGCAUGGCAUCUCAUAAACAAGUGAGUCACAAGUAAAACAGUAUCUAAUAAAUUCACAACAAGUAAUCUAGGAAAGCAAAAGUUCUGCUACUUUUGUUUGGCAUAUCUUAAAGAAAAGAGAAGACAGCUGGGUUACAAAGUAAUGCAUCAAUAGUUAAACUCAGUGAUCUGAUGCGUUGAUUUCAACAUUGAGGUGUCAGACUAGCCUGAUUGCCAUGUUUGUUGGCGCUGUCAUGCCAACUCCUCGUCACUCAUUGUCAGGCUACGUUCAGACAGUCAUUACAAUACAAUAAGAGCAAUCAUUCAAGCAAGUCCAUUUCAAUUUCAACAAUUAACAAAGCAUUAAUACACUAUAGGACUAUAGCAGUUAAGCAGUUGCACAAAGGCUAUUAUAGGCAUAAUAAUACAAAUGUAUAUAAUGUCAAUAGGAGAUGCCAUUGAAAAUAAACAUAUGUAGAUAUCCAAGGAGCCCGUUUCUCUCAAUACAUUUUCUAGAUAGACAGUCUGCUAAUGAGCUCCUAUUAACGGCUCACAAUAGAAAGCAAUACACAAUUUGGCUUUCAACAUCACUGCAAAAUGUCUACAAUUCCAGUAGUUUAGUAUGAUAUACAUGUUUAUCUUUGAUUCCAAAAUGUUUGCCAUUAGGAUGACAACCUUGCAUCAAAACCUGAAGUUAUGGUUUCAUCAGCAGCUAUGGUAAAUGCAGAGAUAAUGUAGAGAUAAUGUAGUGAUGAUAAUACAUUUAGAUCAUUCAGAACCUGAUACGUGAGUUAAAAGUUUCAGUCCAUUUUUCUGUCAAAAAAAAAUAUCAACCAAAGAAAACACAACAACAUAUGGACUUCCCUGUAUAACAGAAAUGCACAUUAGUACACACUCUAUUCUAUUAGUAAAAACACUAUCCUGUAAAUACAUUCUAAAGGGAUCUGAUCUUCAAAUUACACAUUUUCAUUGCCUUCAUUCUUUUGUUUCAGACAAGAAGGCCACCCGCACUAUAGGGCACAGGAGAAUUGUCUGACGUGUCAAAAAGCCUCAGAAACAAUUCAGUCAAUCAAAACCUGUCCAUGUUUUACGCAGUAUACAGAGUGCCAUAGGUUUGUUGGCUCGUUCACACAAUGGCAGCAAUAAGCCAAUGAUGUGGUAUUGUUUUUAAUAGAUCUGACCGAUACAGAUCAACACUCACCUAAUGAAUAUACCAACUGGGUACAGGCGUCUCACCUAAUGAAUAUACCAACUGGGUACAGGCGUCUCACCUAAUGAAUAUACCAACUGGGUACAGGCGUCUCACCUAAUGAAUAUACCAACUGGGGUACAGGUGUCUCACCUAAGGAAUGUAGGCAAGAUGUCACAUUUGGAAUAUCAGAUACGUAACACUUAAAAAUGCUCACUUGCAAAAUAUCACCACAUGCAAGUUGAAAGUGAAGGUGAACCAUGAAUUAGGUAUGGAUGGUAUUGUGGAUAUGUUCAAUAACAUAAACAUAGUCAGACGGCAUUUUUGUUCACUAAUUUGAACAUUCAACCAACCAAGUUGGAAAAUAAAUUUAAACAGUGCAUGAACAAAUAAAAUACGUAGAAAUGUAACAAUUAUAGCUAACGUUACAAAUAUGUUUUGUUGUUGUUCGUUUUAAUAUGAAUCCAAAUUCAUUAAUAAGAAGACACUCAUUACAUGAAAUAUUUAGCCUUCGUUGUUCAGUAGAGCAUCUCACCACUUCCUUGACCUUCUUUGACACUUUACGGUUUCAUAAUAAUAAUCACUUUUGAAGCCAUCUCAUGAUGCACAAGGUGCAUAGUUUCUAGCAUAGUGCCCCUGAGAAUGGAAUGAUACCUGAAUAAUGUAGAUACAUCUUUAGGACACAUCUUUAGGACACAUCUUUAGGGCACAUCUUUAGGACACAUCUUUAGGACACAUCUUUAGGGCACACACCUAGGGCUGGUUUCCCAGAUACAGAUUAAGGGUUCACUUUAGCCAACAUCCUAAUAGCAGUUGUUUUGACGGUGUUGAGGGUGGAACUGCAUUAGAGCUGUCAAUCAAUCAAAUAUAUUUAUAAAGCCUUUUUUUUUUUUUUACAAAAUGUUGAAUAACAGGUAUCAAACAGUUUAUAUUGUAUAGAAUGUUUGAAACAGCUGGUCAAAUUGGCCAUGUACUGUAUGUCAACACUUUGGGAAGAUUAGCCUCACCUUGUGGGUUAACAAGGACUUUGGGAAGAUUAGCCCCACCUUGUGGGUUAACAGGGACUUCGGGAAGAUUAGCCCCACCUUGUGAGUUAACAGGGACUUCGGGAAGAUUAGCCCCACCUUGUGGGUUAACAGGGACUUUGGGAAGAUUAGCCCCACCUUGUGGGUUAACAAGGACUUCGGGAAGAUUAGCCCCACCUUGUGGGUUAACAAGGACUUUGGGAAGAUUAGCCUCACCUUGUGGGUUAACAAGGACUUUGGGAAGAUUAGCCCCACCUUGUGGGUUAACAGGGACUUCGGGAAGAUUAGCCCCACCUUGUGAGUUAACAGGGACUUCGGGAAGAUUAGCCCCACCUUGUGGGUUAACAGGGACUUUGGGAAGAUUAGCCCCACCUUGUGGGUUAACAAGGACUUUGGGAAGAUUAGCCCCACCUUGUGAGUUAACAGGGACUUCGGGAAGAUUAGCCCCACCUUGUGAGUUAACAGGGACUUUGGGAAGAUUAGCCUCACCUUGUGGGUUAACAAGGACUUUGGGAAGAUUAGCCCCACCUUGUGGGUUAACAAGGACUUUGGGAAGAUUAGCCCCACCUUGUGAGUUAACAGGGACUUUGGGAAGAUUAGCCCCACCUUGUGAGUUAACAGGGACUUUGGGAAGAUUAGCCUCACUUUGUGGGUUGAACCAGAUCCAAAUAAACCAAGUAACAAAACAAAACAACGGAGACAUAUCAAAGUAGUCUAACUAGUGCCACAAUGAUUUACAACGAUCCAGCCCUGAACAGCAACUCACACUGAUAUAUAUGAUAUACAGAUGUAGGAUCGUAAUUUUAUCACUGUUUUGUUUCUGAGAAUUGCAAACUUGCUGUGUUUUUUGACUUUUAAAAACCCUACAAAAAUGUCCAUUAAUUAUAAUCCACAUAAUUCACAUUUCCUAUUGAAGCAGGAUUAUUUUACUGCUGUAGCAAACUGGUUCAUAUUAAGAUCCUACAUCUGUCUCUCCAUAAAGCCUUCCCAUUCCCUCCUCAAGACUUGUCAAUAACGGGAGUCAAGGCAACGUAGCUGCAGCCAUUUUUUUCGUCAGCCUCCUUGUUGCUCACAGGGGAAUAAGAUGUGUCUUCCUUUGUUGACUUCUAUAGAUGAAGACAGCGGAGGGAUGGAGAGAAUGGAGGAUGGAGUAGAGAGCAAGAGUGGAGUGAGAGAGUAGAGUGAGAGAGAGUAGAGUGAGAGAGAGAGUGGAGAGAGAGAGGUGGAGUGAGAGAGCGAGAGAGAGGAGAGAGUGGAGUGAGAAAGAGAGAGAGUGGAGUGAGAGAGAGUGGAGGGAGAGAGAGUUAAGGGAGAAAGAGUGGAGGGAGAGAAAGAGAGAGUGGCAAAAGAGAGAGAGUGGAGAGAGAAAGAGAGUGGAGAAAGGGAGAGAUAUUGGAGGGAGAGAGAGAGAGAGUGGAGGGAGAAAGAGUGGAGGGAGAAAGAGAGGAGGGAGAAAGAGAGUGGAGAGAGAGAGUGGAGGGAGAGAGAUAGUGGAGGGAGGGAGAAAGAGUGGAGGGAGAGAGAGAGAGUGGAGGGACAGAGAGAGUGGAGAGAGAGAGCGAGUAGAGGGAUGGAGACAGUGGAGGGAUGGAGAGAGUAGAGGGAGGGAGUGGAGGGAGAGAGAGUGGAGGGAGAGAGAGAGUGGAGGGAGAGAGAGAGUGGAGGGAGAGAGAGAGUGGAGGGAGAAAGAGUGGAAUGAGAAAGAGUGGAGGGAGGAAGAGUGAAGGGACAGAGAGAGUGGAGAGAGAGAAAGAGUGGAGGGAGAAAGAUUGAAGGGACAGAGAGAGUGGAGAGAGAGAGUAGAGGGAGGGAGACAGUGGUGAGUAGAGGGAGGGAGUGGAGGGAGAGAGUAGAGAGAGAGAGAGAGAGAGGGGAGAGGUAGUGGAGGGAGAGAGUGGAGGGAGAGAGUAGAGAAAGAGAGAGGGGAGAGAUAGUGGAGUGAGAGAGAGAUGAGAGAGUGGAGGGAUGGAGAGAGUGGAGGGAGAUAGCAGAGAGAGAGAGGGGAUAGUGGAGGGAGAGAGAGAGUGGAGGGAGAGAGAGAGUGGAGGGAGAGAGAGAGUGGAGGGAGAAAGAGUGGAAUGAGAAAGAGUGGAGGGAGAAAGAGUGAAGGGACAGAGAGAGUGGAGAGAGAGAGUAGAGGGAGGGAGACAGUGGUGAGUAGAGGGAGGGAGUGGAGGGAGAGAGUAGAGAGAGAGAGAGAGAGAGAGAGAGGGGAGAGGUAGUGGAGGGAGAGAGUGGAGGGAGAGAGUAGAGAAAGAGAGAGGGGAGAGAUAGUGGAGUGAGAGAGAGAUGAGAGAGUGGAGGGAUGGAGAGAGUGGAGGGAGAUAGCAGAGAGAGAGAGGGGAUAGUGGAGGGAGGUAGAGAGUGGAGGGAGAGAGGGGUGGAGACAGUGGAGGGAAGUAGAGAGUGGACGGAGAGAGGGAGGGAGACAGUGGAGGGAGGUAGAGAGUGGACGGAGAGAGGGAGAGAGACAGUGGAGGGAGGUAGAGAGUGAGGUAGAGAGUGGAGGGAAACAGUGGAGGGAGGUAGAGAGUGGACGGAGAGAGGGGUGGAGACAGUGGAGGGAGGUAGAGAGUGGAGGGAGAGAGGGAGGGAGACAGUGGAGGGAGAGAGGGAGGGAGACAGAUGGGAGAGAGGUAGAGAGUGGUUAGUUAUAGUACCAAUCUAGCGAACAAAACAUUGAAUAAAAUUGCUUGUCAGGAUCAUAAUCCUUCAGAUACAGUGUUUGUUGUACAGCCAUGCAUGUCCAAUCAGCAGGGACAUGUUGGACUGUAUAAAGGAACAGUCGGACACAGAUUAUGUUUAGGAGAAUUUCCAUUGAGCAUGUUUUUUUUCUUCAGGACUAGGCUUAAUCUGUUCUGGGGAAACCGUCCCAUAGAAUUUAGCUUCAGGAGAAACCGUCUCAUAGAAUUUAGCUUCAGGAGAAACUGUCCCAUAGAAUUUAGCUUCAGGAGAAACUGUCCCAUAGAAUUUAGCUUCAGGAGAAACCGUCCCAUAGAAUUUAGCUUCAGGAGAAACCGCCCCAUAGAAUUUAGCUUUCAGGGGUUAACUGUCCCAUAGAAUUUAGCUUUCAGGGGUUAACUGUCCCAUAGAAUUUAGCUUUCAGGAGAGAUGUUAAUCUGAUUGUUAACAUAUCAAACUGUGUUAUUAAAAAUGGUGCAUACUUGUCAUAACAUUACAGGCCAUAACAUUUCAGAGAGGAUUAUGAUCAAAAUUGGCUGAUUUAAGAAGUCAGACAAGGUAAGAAAGUAAAGAUAUUAUAGUGACAAAUGUAAAUGAUAAAAGGGAAAAUUAUGAACGAUUAUUAAAAACCUCUGUUGGGGCUACAGGUUAGCAAUGAACCCCGAGUCGGGAUUGCUAACAAGGCUGGAAAUUCAAAACAUCAAAAAUCUAAUAAUUUCAAUUUCUCAAACAAUCAACUAUUUUACACAAUUUAAAAGAUAAACAUCUCCUUAAUCUAACCACAUUGUUCGAUUUUCAAAGAGGCUUUACGGCAAAAGCAUAAAGUUAGAUUAUGUUAGGACAGUACAUAGCCACAAAAGUACAAACAUCCAUUUUCAAUUCAAGGUCAGGCGUCACCAAAAGCAGAAACCAGCUAGAAUUAUGCACUAACCUUUGUCAAUCUCCAUCAGAUGACACUCCUAGGACAUUAUGUUAUACAAUACAUGCAUUUUUUGUUCCAUCAAGUUCAUAUUUAUAUCCAAAAACAGCAUUUUACAGUAGCGUGAAAUUCAGAUUUUUUCUUCUCUGAAAUGCUUCCGGUGAACAUAACAAAAUUACUAUUCGAAAACAUUGGUAAAUUAUAAUAUUGUCAUUCAAAGAAUAAUAUAUUAUCAUCUCGUAAUUGCUACCGAAUGGCCAGAUCUCAAAAUAACUUUACUGGGAAAUCACAUUUUGCAAUAAACGGGGUGCUAUGCUAAGAACAAUAAGCUAUGCUAUACAGUUAGCAUCAUCUAAUAUCGAUAAUAACAUUGUAAAUAUCCCCUUACCUUUGAUUAUCUCCAUCAGAAGGCACUGCCAGGAUUUCCCAGGUCCGGAACAAAUGUGGUUUCUUUUGACAAAGUUCAUAAUUUAUGUCCAAAUAACAACAAGUAGUUAGCGUUCAUUAUGCUCCCACAAAACGUGGUGGGGGGGG